GACAGAUUGAGAGCUCUUUCUUGAUUUUGUGGGUGGUGGUGCAUGGCCGUUCUUAGUUGGUGGAGUGAUUUGUCUGCUUAAUUGCGAUAACGAAUGAGACCUUAACCUGCUAAAUAGCCAGGCCAGCUUUGGCUGGUCGCCGGCUUCUUAGAGGGACUAUCGGCUCAAGCCGAUGGAAGUUUGAGGCAAUAACAGGUCUGUGAUGCCCUUAGAUGUUCUGGGCCGCACGCGCGCUACACUGACCGAAUCAACGAGUACUGUCCCUUGGCCGAAAGGUCUGGGUAAUCUUGUUAAAUUCGGUCGUGCUGGGGAUCGAGC
Molecule: ribosomal RNA, 318 nt
Filed under: Thamnolia subuliformis
Lineage: Eukaryota; Fungi; Ascomycota; Lecanoromycetes; Pertusariales; Icmadophilaceae
Description: SSU rRNA
Rfam family: Eukaryotic small subunit ribosomal RNA
Source: RNAcentral